RNAcentral lists this long non-coding RNA (4161 nucleotides) under Gallus gallus (chicken). Lineage: Eukaryota; Metazoa; Chordata; Aves; Galliformes; Phasianidae. The record is from RNAcentral.
GUGGGACAAAUGCUUAUUGGUGGCUGAAGGUUCCACAUCUCCUGUGUGGCUGCUUGGUGUCUUUGCUCUGGGACUCUUCAAUCUGAGCCCAAGUCCGUCGAGUGCCACCUCCAGGUCGUUUGCUGUUGGUGAAGAUGUAGUGCUGAAGUCUGAUGAUGUCACCUCACCGUGGGACCGCUCAGAAACUUCGCCCUGUUUUGCCCGGACAUCCAGAGAGACUCUGCGAGGAGAGGAGCACACAGGACGGGGAGGGUCAGCGGGGGCCGUGGAAGCAGACCGCGCCUUCAGGCACAGGAGAUGGUCCCAUCCCCCGGACUGCCUACGGCGCUGAUGGCACACUGCGAUCGGACAGCGCUGAAGGAUGUCACAUCACAUCUGUGUGCCUGGAUCACGAGCUCUAACGGUGAAUCCAUGCACUCAAUGGGUGCGCCUCUCCGUUUUCACUGACUGACUUUUCUAAUCUAUGCUAUUCUCAGAGUAAGAAUAUUUGUUUGCAAAGAUGGAUGUGCCAAAGGCCAAAAAAUAACAAAAAAAUUAAACAUUUAAUUAACUUGAUCUCAGUUCAAAGGGUAGGAAACUGGCAGCGAUCCAAGGAUGCAUUACUUAGGUAAUGUCUUUAAUUUAAUUUGCUUAGCUUUAAUUUUUUUUAAUCUUGAUAAUUGCUCUAUGGUUACUAGUUACAACGUUAUCUUCUAGCUGUGAUAUUUGGUACAGCCCUUGAUUAAGUAUGAUGGUUCCUCUGUAAUAAAGCAAUGGAGCUCAUCUGUUUUUAGCCGGGUGCAUUCAUAGCAAAUCUCCACUCCUGGUGGUGAUGGCACUUGGCUGUUCCCAAAAAGGGGUUUGGGGCUCCUGAUCUGCCUUCCAGUUUCCAACCCAUGAAAUUGAUUUAAAUAAAAUAAAUCACAGAAAGGAAUGAUUAAAGGCCAAGGAAAGACAGAAUGAAGAUAAAAAAAAUUGUUCACUUAAAGUAAAUAUAAGGGAAAUGGCAGUUUAGCACAAAGUACAAAUGGUAUAUACUGUAAUACCUCCAAGUGAGAUGGCAACCAACCAUGUGUAACGUUUCAAUGGUAUCCAUUUGUAAAAGCCGUUGCAAUCAAAGGUCCCUAAAAUUGUACAAUUGUUAAGUUCAUCAGUGCUCUAUACAUGGGAACAGAUGAUUAUUAAUUUUUGGCAAGAAAUUAUCAAAGGACUUGAAAGACUGUGUUGUCAGCAUGAAUAUGGAAUAUGCAUUUCCAAAAGCUGUUCUGGUCACCAACGACUGUGCUGAACUCUACGGGGACCUUUCCAAGACCAUCGCCUUCUCAUUCCCCCAGUUACAAAUACCAACUCUGGGUCUUCCCUUUUUUGUUUUUAAGCCAGGUUAGUAAAUGGAGUGUGUUAAAUAAAUAUAAAGGUAAAAAGGGCUACUGGAGCCCUUGCAGUUACCAGGGUAUACCCAGUAUGAAGGGUAUCCCCUGAAUUAAGAGGCUGCCAAUCUGAAAAUCCAAUGCUAAUCAGCCUUUGAAGAAGUCUUAGUGCAGACAAAUCACGACAGCACGGCCUGUCUCGUGCAUCUCAUUACUUGAAAGAUCUGGAUGUCACCGAGGUUAAAGCACCCAAAUUUUCCACAACAGGUGGAAAGUGGCAAUAGGGCUCUCAGAAGGGGUAGUCCGAAUUGGUGCAGCUCUCUCUCAGCAGAAUAAUCACAUUCUGCGUUCUGUACCCAAAUUGAUCUGAAGAGGCUGCCGUGUCCUCUGUGUGGCCGUAUGCACAGCAGGACCAGAGCGGAAUGCAGAGCACGAGGGCUCUGCUGGAGGGCAGCAGCUGCUGUGUCUCUUUGGGUACCGGUUGUUUGUGCAGUGAAAACAAGACCACUUCAGGUACUUUGUCUGCACUGUGUUCCCGCUCCCCCACCUCAUCCAAUGUGGUCAGAGAACAGAACUGUCGUUUUAGCUUGGAGAAUCCCAGGGGGGUUCUCUAUACUUCGACAUGUUUAUUUUAUGAGAGGAAAAGAUUUCUCAGCAUUUUACGGAAAAAGGGAAAACAGCGUAGGCUGCUGGUUUUCUGUUUUGGAGACUGACAGCCGCUAAAGCCGUUUAACCACAUUCAUGCUAACACACACAGGUAAAACAGUGCAAUCUGAAAAACAGCAUGCAGCUUUGUUAAGCAAAUUUCCAUCGCCCGUAAUUAGUGAGCCUGCAGAACCAUGCAGCAUGACAGAAGUACGUUUCCAGUGACUUGACAACACAACAGAAGUGACUUACUUGUGACCUGCACGUUUUAAGGACCGUUAGCAAUCCCCUAAGCCACCUCACGGUGCCCGGGUGAAGCAGCGCCCACCUCCCGUGCCCACGUCCUCUGCUGCACACCGAUGCCGUUUAGGGCAGAGGCUGGAAGCUCCAAGCCCAGAUGGCGCUGCUGCUGGGACACAGGCAGGCCUGGUGUCCCAGGGAACCCUUCUCCUGCUCUGGGUGGGAGGAGAGGCCAGGAACACUGCCUGCAAGCGGCAUGCCAGCCUCAGUGGGCUGUUCGACUGAUGGGAAGACCAUCUAGACAAGCAGAAGCUUGUAUUUGUUAAACAGGGCCUUUCAAAACACGCCGUAUCUGUGCAGCAUAAGGCUCAGACAAGUGUCUCUGGUCUGCAUCGCAACUCCAGUGGCUCUGGGACAGCAGAGUGCAGCUCUGCAAGAGACCUCAGCAACUGCAGAGGGUUAUGCACAGUGCUGGAGGCUACAGGACUGGGCACGACCCGCUCGUCAUACAGUCAUCGAAAAAGAUACCAAACCCCAUCGUGUGACUAAAUGACGCCCCUCCCGGCACGCGGUACUCACGGCGAUCCCGUGGCUGAAGCCGGAGCCCGGCUGUGGGCUGGCAGCACUUAUGUAGUUGCCGACGCCGGAGUCCUGGCUGGCUGUGCCGUAGAGGUCUGCGACGGGCCCAGGGCUGUUGGCCCCAGGGAAGCCUCCGGGCCGGGCUGGGUUGGAGCCUGCCGGGGAAGCGGGUGCGCCAAAAUUCGGUUGAGCACUGUAGCUAUUCAAGACUGGUGUGCAGAGAAUAAAGCUGGGUAUGAGGCCAGACGCCGGGCAUGCACCGUUAUUACAAAGCCAAACACCAGAAUAAACAGCCUAGGCCCAACUUCUAACACUUAACCAAGGCCAUGCGAUAGGAGAGCAAGUACUGAAUAAUAGUCAGCCCGUACUACUACGAAGCUUAGAGCUCCAAAAUAUAUAUAUGAAUAUAUAUAAAAAAAAAAGAACAAUCAUUCAACACACUACUGCAACCAGAGACUGUAGGUGCUCAUUUUCACCAAAUUAUCACAAAAUAUAAUAGAUAUUUUUCAACAUCUGACUUGAUGCUCAUGCAGUAGUAACAAGUUCUCUAGGUCUGGGCACGCCGAGACAGCAUUCACAUCCCAUGCAAACUACAAAGGAACUAAUUUGAGACUACACAUUGUGGUAAUAUUGAUAUUAAAAUGUUGACAGCAAAUAGCUUCGAUCACAUCUAGUGAAAUCGUUUUGGAUCCAUUUGAUACUUUGGAAAAAAACCCGCCCUUUUAAAUUGGUAAGAUGUAGAAAUAGCUCAUCAAUAGUAGAUUUUUGGUUUUUUUUAAUGGUAUGGAAUGGAACAGUUUGGGUUUAUUCUUUGGGUAUGACCAAGGAGAGUAUUGUUUUAUUUAAUUUGCCUUUCUUUAAAUUUGGAGAUCGAAGACCUACCUUCAUCUCCAAAACCAUGCUGGGGGGACAUCAACCAAAAUUAAACAAAUAAAUAAAGAUCCAAAGCAAAAAAAGAAUUCCAGAGGGUGUAUGGCAACUCACCUCCUAAUGUGGAAGUAAAAGAAAAUUUUAUUUUUUCCUCCCUUCACAUUUUUUUUUUUUUUGAGACAGAAAAACAAUGUAAACAGGAAUGAUACUGAAGAAUAGAUUUGGAUAUUAAAGCAUGUUAGAUGAUCAGGCUUCUGCCAUUCCUCACUGUUGUUCUUGGAUGUGAAGUUUAUGAGUAAGAGGAUUCAAUGCGAAAGAAAAGUCAGUGGCGGGGAGAGCGGAUGGGGAUGGCGCUGGAAGCGGGAGAGGCCUGCCAAGAUGGCGCUGCCAACACGGCACUACUGACCUGGUGCUGCUGACCUGGCUUUGCCGACCUAGUUCUGCCAACACAAUGCUGCUGACCUGACGCUGCCAACACGGC